GACCUGGCGGUGUAGUGGUUAACACCUCUGAUCUCGGGAUAGCUGUUCGGAUAUCCGUAGCUCAUACCUGUUCGACUCAGGGCUAGGUCA
Molecule: non-coding RNA, 90 nt
Organism: Mycena rebaudengoi
Lineage: Eukaryota; Fungi; Basidiomycota; Agaricomycetes; Agaricales; Mycenaceae
Source: the annotation of a GenBank genome assembly